GCCCCGCCAGCAGCCCAGCAGCCAGACCCUCGAUGACUCGAAUCGCCUACACCAACACGAUUCCUUCGAGAAGAAGAGGCGGGGAGGGAGAACUGCGAAGAGUCGACGACGGCGACCGACAUGGAGGAGAGGGUACCGCUUCUGCCGCAGCGAGUGGCGCGGGACGGCGACGGCCGAGAGGAGACGUGGGGCGGCGUGAGGUGGUGGAGGGACCUGGCGCGGGAGGCCGGUAAGGUCGGGUACGUGGCCCUGCCGAUGGCGGCCGUGAGCGCAUCGCAGUACGCGGUGCAGGUGGCGUCCAGCAUGAUGGUUGGCCACCUCCCCGGCGUCCUCCCGCUCUCCGCCUCCGCCAUCGCCACCUCCCUCGCUAGCGUCUCCGGCUUCAGCCUCCUCAUUGGAAUGGCAUGUGGAUUGGAGACUCUAUGCGGCCAAGCUUAUGGGGCAAAACAGUACGACAAAUUGGGACUGCAAACCUACAGAGCUAUAGUCACACUCAUAACUGUGAGCAUUCCAAUCGCACUUCUGUGGGUAUUCAUGGGCAAACUCCUGAUUCUCAUAGGUCAAGACCCUUUGAUCUCGAAGGGAGCUGGUAGAUACAUAAUCUGGUUGAUUCCAGGGCUCUUUGCAUAUGCAAUCAGCCAACCUCUCACAAAGUUUCUGCAGUCUCAGAGUCUAAUAAUUCCUAUGCUUUGGUCCUCCAUGGCGACACUGCUCUUGCACAUCCCUCUUUGUUGGUUAUUGGUGUUCAAGACCAGUUUGGGGUAUAUUGGAGCUUCUUUGGCGAUAAGCUUAUCAUAUUGGUUGAAUGUGAUCAUGCUUUCUGUGUACAUCGGAUACUCGAAUUCUUGUAAGGAGACCCGCUCGCCUCCUACAAUUGAGGCCUUCAGAGGAGUUGGCUUGUUUCUACGCCUAGCUCUAUCAUCUGCACUAAUGUUGUGUUUUGAAUGGUGGUCCUUUGAGGUCCUUAUUCUUGUCUCAGGACUUUUACCCAAUCCAGCGUUGCAAACUUCAGUUCUUUCAAUAUGCCUGACGACUAUCACGUUAAUGUAUACUAUACCUUAUGGGCUUGAAGCGGCUGCAAGCACUCGAGUAGCAAAUGAAUUAGGUGGUGGUAACCCCGAAGGAGCUCGAUCAGCUGUUCAGGUUGUCAUGUGUAUUGCAGUGAUGGAGGCAGCUCUCGUCACAAGUGUACUCUUAGCAUCACAGCACAUCUUGGGAUAUGCAUAUAGCAGUGAUAAGGAGGUUGUCGCGUAUGUCAAUGCAAUGGUUCCCUUUGUGUGCGUCUCUGUUGCUGCUGAUAGCCUACAAGGAGUUCUAUCAGGUCACAUUUCUUAACUCUAGUUUAUCUGUUAAUCUGCCUAUCCCUACAAAAUAGAGAAGAAAAGACCUUUUUCAUCUUUUGAAACCUCGAAAACGCAUCUUUUAAUUAUGCAUGUGAAGUUUCUUUUCGAGAACGCAUUGCGCCUGUGAAGUUAUCAAACAUUUUUUUUGAGGAAUCGUUAUCAAACAGAUUGAACUGUGCUAAAUUUGUUGCCAGUGCCUUUUACCUCUUAAUUUGAUCUGCAUAAUUCAAUCUGUGUGCUCUUCUCAAUUUUGGUAACAAGCCCUGUCAGGUGGCAAGUGACCAUUACUGUUUUGUCAGUCAUGGCAAUGUCGUAAGGACAUACCAGGUAACACGCCGCUUCUUGUUUCUCCUUUCUUCCACGAUACUAAUGCUAUGUUGUGUUGUGUGUUACUCGGGGAGUUACUUGUUUGUUCCUUCAAAAAUGUGCUCUUACGUGAACAUGGAUGGGAUGCCGGUGUUUUCAUCAACACGCAUCUAGCAGAGAUGUUACCGUAAGCAGGCCCCAGAUCACUAAGUAUUGCCCGAGGAUGCGGGUGGCAGCACUUGGGCGCCUAUGUCAACCUCGGUUCUUUCUAUCUGGUAGGGAUUCCAGUGGCACUCUUCCUCGGCUUUGUUCUGAAGAUGGAAGGAAAAGGGCUGUGGAUGGGCAUUUCCU
RNA transcript from Phragmites australis (common reed), 2000 nucleotides. It is a transcript of the gene named protein DETOXIFICATION 14-like, with no coding region annotated. The record is from RefSeq and is a predicted model, not a curated record. The transcript is spliced from 6 exons. NCBI's taxonomy places the organism in Eukaryota, Viridiplantae, Streptophyta, Magnoliopsida, Poales, Poaceae.